GGAGGGUUGGCAGAGCGGUUGAAUGCACUGGUCUUGAAAACCAGCAUACGUGAAAGCGUAUCGAGAGUUCGAAUCUCUCACCCUCCGCCA
Molecule: transfer RNA, 90 nt
Filed under: Magnetovibrio sp.
Lineage: Bacteria; Pseudomonadati; Pseudomonadota; Alphaproteobacteria; Rhodospirillales; Magnetovibrionaceae
Description: tRNA-Ser
Rfam family: tRNA
About the family: Transfer RNA (tRNA) molecules are approximately 80 nucleotides in length.
Source: RNAcentral